UCCCCCCCUCCCUCUCCCCACCUCUUCCCCCCCUUCCUCCCUCCCUCUCUGCCCAUCUGUCUGUCUUUCUCCCCCAUCAUAUAUAUAUAUAUACUCCUGUAUAUGUGAAUAUACUAUAUAUUUUUUUCUUCAUAUAUAUCUAUAUAUAUCUGAGCUCUUCCAGCAGUCUGGAUUAGAUGCCGAUUUCUUCAUCCCAGGGACCCAUCUCUGUGCCUUUAUCUCUGCCCACCUUUCACACUGUGAGAUGUGGGGGAAAGGAUUUCCCUACAGAAUGUAAACCACCUUUUAGUCCUUUUAGUCCUGUUCCAGUGGCUUGAGGAAAAGAGUACACCAGGAGCCCCCUGCCAGACUCCAUUUCCCCAGAUCCCUUUUCCCAUUUUUGCCCAGUCUUUUAGCCGCCUACCCUCCAGUCGUGGACCCAGCUCUGAGGCUUUGUGGGUAAUCUACAAGUAUGCCCAGCUUUGCUCAAAACAAGUUCUACUGGAAAGAUGGGAACAAACCAGCGAGAGGGAAAGAAGGAGGGACUGCCUCGUAGCCCUGAAAUGCACGCUGCACUUCCAUCUGUCCACUUGGCCACCUGCUUCUCUCUCAUCGGUGCCAAGUCCUGCCAGCAUCGGCAGGGUCACGUUGGUAGGGAGAGAGAUGUCUGGGGGCAAGUGAGACCUUCGACUCCACUGAAGCAUUCCUCAGCUGAUGGUACACGUCUCUUAGAUGAGAUCUUUUAUGUUACUUCUUACCUGCCAUAUGUCAUUGUCUACGAAUGGCCAGCAGGCACUUCUCUGCCCAUCGCUGAAUGCCCUGUGAUCUGCAUUUCUUCAGAGUCUCUUGCAUUCUGUGACUCACAUCAUAUAGCAUCACCAGGAGAAUAUUGGUUUUUAACCAUCUCAUCCUUUGUUUCAAGAGAAGCUCAAGGUGCAGUGCAUUAUGCAAAAUGCCAGACUGGAUGAAUCAAAAGCCAGAAUUGAGGCUGCCAGGAAGAAAUAUCAACAGUCUCAGAUGCACAGAUGACGCCACUCUGAUGGCAGAAAGUGAAGAAGAAUUAAGAAGCCCUUUAAUGAGGGUGAAAAAGGAGAGUACAAAAGUUGGCUUGAAGCUUAACAUUAAAAAAAAACCGCUAAGAUUUUGGCUUCACUUUCUGGCAAACAGCAGGAAAGAAAUGGAAGCAGAGUCAGAAUUUAUAUUCUUAGAGUCAAAGAUCACUGUCGAUGGUGACUGCAGCCAUGAAAUAAAACACAUUUGCUCCUUGGAAGGAAAGCUAUA
This 1260-nucleotide long non-coding RNA is filed under the name Monodelphis domestica (gray short-tailed opossum). RNAcentral describes it as "lncRNA (ENSMODG00000034692.2)". Lineage: Eukaryota; Metazoa; Chordata; Mammalia; Didelphimorphia; Didelphidae. The record is from RNAcentral.